This is a ribosomal RNA of 434 nucleotides. It matches the Rfam family "Bacterial small subunit ribosomal RNA", at positions 341 to 792 of the family's 1533-position model.
ACGGGAGGCAGCAGUGGGGAAUAUUGGGCAAUGGGCGCAAGCCUGACCCAGCAAUGCCGCGUGAAGGAAGAAGGCUUUCGGGUUGUAAACUUCUUUUAAGUGGGACGAUAAUGACGGUACCACUUGAAUAAGCUCCGGCUAACUACGUGCCAGCAGCCGCGGUAAUACGUAGGGAGCAAGCGUUAUCCGGAUUUACUGGGUGUAAAGGGCGUGUAGGCGGGACAGCAAGUCAGAUGUGAAAGCACGGGGCUCAACUUCGUGUCUGCAUUUGAAACUGCUGUUCUUGAGUGCUGGAGAGGCUAACGGAACUCCUAGUGUAGCGGUGAAAUGCGUAGAUAUUAGGAAGAACGCCAGUGGCGAAGGCGGUUAGCUGGACAGUAACUGACGCUGAGGCGCGAAAGCGUGGGUAGCAAACAGGGUUUGAUUCCCUGGUA